This 378-nucleotide ribosomal RNA is filed under the name uncultured bacterium. RNAcentral describes it as "bacterial SSU rRNA". It matches the Rfam family "Bacterial small subunit ribosomal RNA", at positions 524 to 898 of the family's 1533-position model. The record is from RNAcentral.
UACAGAGGGGGCAAGCGUUGUUCGGAAUUACUGGGUGUAAAGGGUGCGUAGGUUGUCGAGUAAGUUAGAUGUGAAAUCUCAGGGCUUAACUCUGAAAUUGCAUUUAAUACUGCUUGACUAGAAUAUGGGAGAGGGAAAUGGAAUUCUCGGUGUAAGAGUGAAAUCUGCAGAUAUCGAGAGGAACACCAGUAGCGAAGGCGAUUUCCUGGCCCAAUAUUGACACUGAGUGCACGAAAGCUAGGGGAGCAAACGGGAUUAGAUACCCCGGUAGUCCUAGCUGUAAACGAUGAGGACUAGGUGUUGGUUUGCCAUUGGCAGAUCAGUGCCGAAGCUAACGCAUUAAGUCCUCCACCUGGGGAGUACGCUCGCAAGAGUGAA